This 319-nucleotide ribosomal RNA is filed under the name uncultured Actinomycetales bacterium. RNAcentral describes it as "bacterial SSU rRNA". It matches the Rfam family "Bacterial small subunit ribosomal RNA", at positions 20 to 349 of the family's 1533-position model. The record is from RNAcentral. Lineage: Bacteria; Bacillati; Actinomycetota; Actinomycetes; Actinomycetales.
UGGCUCAGAACGAACGCUGGCGGCGUGCUUAACACAUGCAAGUCGAACGGACCCUUUCGGGGGUGAGUGGCGAACGGGUGAGUAACACGUGGGUAACCUGCCCCAGGCUCUGGGAUAACUCCGGGAAACCGGGGCUAAUACCGGAUACGACCUAUCACCGCAUGGUGUGUGGGUGGAAAGUUUUUCGGUCUGGGAUGGGCCCGCGGCCUAUCAGCUUGUUGGUGGGGUGAUGGCCUACCAAGGCGUGGACGAGUAGCCGGCCUGAGAGGGCGACCGGCCACACUGGGACUUUUUCUCGGCCCAGGGACCUACGGGAGGC